Molecule: ribosomal RNA, 253 nt
Filed under: uncultured bacterium
Lineage: Bacteria
Description: partial 16S ribosomal RNA
Rfam family: Bacterial small subunit ribosomal RNA
Source: RNAcentral
UACGUAGGGUGCGAGCGUUGUCCGGAAUUAUUGGGCGUAAAGGGCUCGUAGGCGGUCUGCUACGUCGGGAGUGAAAACUCAGGGCUCAACCCUGAGCCUGCUUCCGAUACGGGCAGACUAGAGGUAUGCAGGGGAGAAUGGAAUUCCUGGUGUAGCGGUGAAAUGCGCAGAUAUCAGGAGGAACACCGGUGGCGAAGGCGGUUCUCUGGGCAUUACCUGACGCUGAGGAGCGAAAGUGUGGGGAGCGAACAGG